GGUCUAACGUCCUUGAGACUACAAGGCUUGAGCUCUCUUAAUCGUCUAAACAUCAACACGUGUCAAAGCUUAACGAGUUUGAUAGGGGGACUGCAACACCUCACUGCCUUACAAGACUUGAUAAUUAAUAAUUGUCGGGAGCUGGCAUAUUUACCAGAGGAUAUGCAACAUCUUACUUCCCUUCGACAACUCACCAUCAGGACCUGUCAGAAGUUGACAUGUUUGCCGGAAGGGCUACGACAUGUCACAACACUGGAAGCUCUAUCAAUCAAUGGAAUGACUCCGCCGGAGUGGAUAGGAAACCUGUCCUCGCUUCGACGUUUGGAGUUUAUAGGUUGUGAUAAAUUGACGUGUUUGCCAUCAGGGUUGCAACUCCUAACAAACCUGCAACACCUACGAAUAUGGGAUUGGCCAAGUCUAACGGCUCUGCCGGAGUGGAUUGGAAACCUCUCCUCGCUUCGAUAUUUGGUAAUUUGGAAUUGUGAUAAAUUGGAGUGUUUGCCAUCCGGGUUGCAACUCCUAACAAAUCUCCAACGUCUAAGAAUCACGGACUGUCCCCAAUUAGAGAAGCGAUGCAAGAAGGAUAAAGGCAAGGAUUGGCACUACAUAUCACACAUCCCAUAUAUUGAAAUUGGAUAUCCCAAAUUUCAAUCCCGGAGAGAAGGCGAAUGGUGUGGACGUCUGCUGGAGUUGAAGAGGAAAUGCAUCAACGCUCUCCUUCCUACCUCUUCUUCCAAUUAACAUUUAAGCACCAUAAUUUAAUCAAGGAAUGAAAGUGGGACUAAAGCAAAUGAGAUGGAGAAGGGGCCUAGCAGCACAUGUGCUAUCCUUGUACAGUUGUAGGAGAACGAGCAAAGGGCAGCAUGGUGGUUGAACUAAAAAUCAGGCCGGCCUGCUUAUCAGGUUGCAACUUAACAAACUUUGAAUGUCUACAAAUCUCUGGCUGUCCCCAUUUAUAGAAGCGAUGCGAGGAGAAGAAAGGUGACAAUUGGCACAAGAUAGUACACAUCCCAGAUAUUCAGAUUGGAUAGCCAU
Long non-coding RNA from Magnolia sinica, 1035 nucleotides. RefSeq lists it as uncharacterized. The transcript has 3 exons. NCBI's taxonomy places the organism in Eukaryota, Viridiplantae, Streptophyta, Magnoliopsida, Magnoliales, Magnoliaceae. The record is from RefSeq and is a predicted model, not a curated record.